GUAACACGUGAGCAAUCUGCCCCUGACUCUGGGAUAAGCGCUGGAAACGGCGUCUAAUACCGGAUACGAGCUGCGAAGGCAUCUUCAGCAGCUGGAAAGAACUUCGGUCAGGGAUGAGCUCGCGGCCUAUCAGCUAGUUGGUGAGGUAAAGGCUCACCAAGGCGUCGACGGGUAGCCGGCCUGAGAGGGUGACCGGCCACACUGGGACUGAGACACGGCCCAGACUCCUACGGGAGGCAGCAGUGGGGAAUAUUGCACAAUGGGCGCAAGCCUGAUGCAGCAACGCCGCGUGAGGGACGACGGCCUUCGGGUUGUAAACCUCUUUUAGCAGGGAAGAAGCGAAAGUGACGGUACCUGCAGAAAAAGCACCGGCUAACUACGUGCCAGCAGCCGCGGUAAUACGUAGGGUGCAAGCGUUAUCCGGAAUUAUUGGGCGUAAAGAGCUCGUAGGCGGUUUGUCGCGUCUGCUGUGAAAACUGGGGGCUCAACCCCCAGCCUGCAGUGGGUACGGGCAGACUAGAGUGCGGUAGGGGAGAUUGGAAUUCCUGGUGUAGCGGUGGAAUGCGCAGAUAUCAGGAGGAACACCGAUGGCGAAGGCAGAUCUCUGGGCCGUAACUGACGCUGAGGAGCGAAAGGGUGGGGAGCAAACAGGCUUAGAUACCCUGGUAGUCCACCCCGUAAACGUUGGGAACUAGUUGUGGGGUCCAUUCCACGGAUUCCGUGACGCAGCU
This 731-nucleotide ribosomal RNA is filed under the name unidentified microorganism. RNAcentral's name for it is "bacterial SSU rRNA". It matches the Rfam family "Bacterial small subunit ribosomal RNA", at positions 110 to 853 of the family's 1533-position model. The record is from RNAcentral.